AUGAAUAAAUGGUUGAAUUCAGCAUCAUGUGUUCAGUACAGAGACAGAAACUGCAUAGGAAGCUUAAGCUUCAUUUGCAUUACUUCCCUUUUGUUAUUUUGUAAGUUUUGAUCCCUCCACCUGAAGGGCUAUUCUGGACAGAAGAGAAGUUGUUAUUAUUUGUAUUGUUUUUAGCUUGCUAAGAAUAAGUAUUUAGCUUCUAAUAUAAUUGGUCUAGAAAAACAUAAGGGUUUUGGUUAAAUUCCUUCUUAUUGUAUGUUGUAAUAUAGACAGGGAAGUGUCUAAAAUAGAUUAAAAUUACACAAACUCUGGGAAUAAAAUCUCUCUUGGGCAGGCUUAGGAAAAACAAAACUGAAAAUAUUUAGUGGCCUAGAGAGCAGAAGCCUAGGACCCACCUUCUAUCCCAACCCUGCCCAGAUCCACCCUCUGCUGAAUCUUGUCCAGGUCUGACCCCACACUGAAAUCUCUCACAGAACUGCUUAGAGGAGAUAAGAGUUUGGGGUGGCUACUCCUACUGCCACUCCAGAGCUGGUGCUUCCAAUUUCCUGAAACAGAAAAGCAGAUAAAUGGGGAAAAGCAAUAUACUUUUGUGCCUUAAAUUCUUUUUUAUAAAAUUAAAACCAGUGUUUCUAGA
RNAcentral lists this long non-coding RNA (634 nucleotides) under Homo sapiens (human). RNAcentral's name for it is "HSALNT0067717". The record is from RNAcentral. Lineage: Eukaryota; Metazoa; Chordata; Mammalia; Primates; Hominidae.